GAGUGACCGGAGCACAGCAGUCCAGUUGAUACUUCUCAGCACUCACUGCCUGCCUCGCAAGCAACUGUGAUACCUGCCAAGUCCGACAGAGUGCUUUGUCUGGAGCGCAGGCUUGACCUGGAGCAGAAGCGGUGGCGUAAAGCAGAAAGUGAGAGAGACAGGCUUCGCGAGUCCACUUGGCCGUGUGUUUUCUAGUGGCCAAAUCAAUGUACUAGAAAAAGGAACCAUGCGAGGGAAGUCUUGGUCGCCAGCAUCGGUUCAAAAGGCGCUCCACGUAAAAGUUGC
This is a long non-coding RNA of Rhipicephalus microplus (southern cattle tick), 285 nucleotides long. NCBI's taxonomy places the organism in Eukaryota, Metazoa, Arthropoda, Arachnida, Ixodida, Ixodidae. The record is from RefSeq and is a predicted model, not a curated record.